UGCGGGGUAGAGCAGCCUGGUAGCUCGUCGGGCUCAUAACCCGGAGGUCGCAGGUUCAAAUCCUGCCCCCGCUA
RNAcentral lists this transfer RNA (74 nucleotides) under Phycisphaeraceae bacterium. RNAcentral describes it as "tRNA-Met". It matches the Rfam family "tRNA". From Rfam's summary of the family: Transfer RNA (tRNA) molecules are approximately 80 nucleotides in length. Their secondary structure includes four short double-helical elements and three loops (D, anti-codon, and T loops). The record is from RNAcentral. RNAcentral also lists the same sequence under 9 other names. Lineage: Bacteria; Pseudomonadati; Planctomycetota; Phycisphaerae; Phycisphaerales; Phycisphaeraceae.